CCUACGGGAGGCAGCAGUGGGGAAUUUUGGACAAUGGGCGAAAGCCUGAUCCAGCCAUUCCGCGUGCAGGAUGAAGGCCCUCGGGUUGUAAACUGCUUUUGUACAGAACGAAAAAGCUCUGGCUAAUACCUGGAGUCCAUGACGGUACUGUAAGAAUAAGCACCGGCUAACUACGUGCCAGCAGCCGCGGUAAUACGUAGGGUGCAAGCGUUAAUCGGAAUUACUGGGCGUAAAGCGUGCGCAGGCGGUUUUGUAAGACAGAGGUGAAAUCCCCGGGCUCAACCUGGGAACUGCCUUUGUGACUGCAAGGCUGGAGUGCGGCAGAGGGGGAUGGAAUUCCGCGUGUAGCAGUGAAAUGCGUAGAUAUGCGGAGGAACACCGAUGGCGAAGGCAAUCCCCUGGGCCUGCACUGACGCUCAUGCACGAAAGCGUGGGGAGCAAACAGGAUUAGAUACCCUGGUAGUCCACGCCCUAAACGAUGUCAACUGGUUGUUGGGUCUUGACUGACUCAGUAACGAAGCUAACGCGUGAAGUUGACCGCCUGGGGAGUACGGCCGCAAGGUUGAAACUCAAAUGAAUUGACGG
RNAcentral lists this ribosomal RNA (585 nucleotides) under uncultured bacterium. Its description in RNAcentral is "bacterial SSU rRNA". It matches the Rfam family "Bacterial small subunit ribosomal RNA", at positions 338 to 916 of the family's 1533-position model. The record is from RNAcentral.